UACGAAGGGGGCUAGCGUUGCUCGGAAUCACUGGGCGUAAAGCGCACGUAGGCGGACUCUUAAGUCGGUGGUGAAAUCCUGGAGCUCAACUCCGGAACUGCCUUCGAUACUGAGAGUCUCGAGUCCGAGAGAGGUGAGUGGAACUGCGAGUGUAGAGGUGAAAUUCGUAGAUAUUCGCAAGAACACCAGUGGCGAAGGCGGGUCUCUGGGCCGAUACUGACGCUGAGGAGCGAAAGCAUGGGUAGCGAACAGG
This 253-nucleotide ribosomal RNA is filed under the name uncultured bacterium. Its description in RNAcentral is "partial 16S ribosomal RNA". It matches the Rfam family "Bacterial small subunit ribosomal RNA", at positions 524 to 776 of the family's 1533-position model. The record is from RNAcentral.